This 491-nucleotide ribosomal RNA is filed under the name uncultured bacterium. RNAcentral's name for it is "partial 16S ribosomal RNA". It matches the Rfam family "Bacterial small subunit ribosomal RNA", at positions 29 to 507 of the family's 1533-position model. The record is from RNAcentral.
AGUGAACGCUGGCGGUAGGCCUAGCACAUGCAAGUCGAACGGCAGCACAGUAAGAGCUUGCUCUUACGGGUGGCGAGUGGCGGACGGGUGAGGAAUACAUCGGAAUCUACUUUUUCGUGGGGGAUACGUAGGGAAACUUACGCUAAUACCGCAUACGACCUACGGGUGAAAGCAGGGGAUCUUCGGACCUUGCGCGAUUGAAUGAGCCGAUGUCGGAUUAGCUAGUUGGCGGGGUAAAGGCCCACCAAGGCGACGAUCCGUAGCUGGUCUGAGAGGAUGAUCAGCCACACUGGAACUGAGACACGGUCCAGACUCCUACGGGAGGCAGUAGUGGGGAAUAUUGGACAAUGGGCGCAAGCCUGAUCCAGCCAUACCGCGUGGGUGAAGAAGGCCUUCGGGUUGUAAAGCCCUUUUGUUGGGAAAGAAAAGCAGCAGGUUAAUACCCCGCUGUUCUGACGGUACCCAAAGAAUAAGCACCGGCUAACUUCGUG